GGCAGAUCUGGGGUGAUGUGUUGUGGUGAUGGGGAUUUGGGAGCAGUGGUUGGGAUGAUGGUUUGGGGUGAAUGAUUGGGGCCAUGGGUUGGGGUCAGGGGUUGGGGUGGCAGAUCUGGGGUGAUGUGUUGUGGUGAUGGGGAUUUGGGAGCAGUGGUUGGGAUGAUGGUUUGGGGUGAAUCUUCCCUUCCCUUCCCUUCCCUUCCCUGAAACUUCCCUUCCCUUCCCUUCCCUUCCCUUCCCUUCCUUUCUGUAAAUCUUGGAGUUUUCUCUUUUUUAUUCCUCUUAUUCUUUUUUUCUCCUUCCCCUCUUUCCCCCCCAACCUUUUCCUCUCUUUUUCCCUUCCUCUCCCUCUUUCUUCCUCCUUCUCUUCCUCUUCCUCUUUUUUCCCUCCCUCCCUCCUCGGGAGCAGCAAAUCACUUUGAUGGUGGCAGGAGCGAGGUCCUUCACCACUGCACGGAGUAGCCUGGUCCCUCUAUCCAUCAUCCUUAAGUGAUUAGAAUGUAAUUACUGCUGGAUUCCUCCCUCAUUAGUCACAGCCCCCAAUACUCAGGAUCAGGAUUCCCCCGGAUGAGGAUUCCCCACCUGGAUGCCAAGGGAGAUCCCAGGCAAAGCCCAGCCUUGAGGUGCAGCUGUCCUGGGGCUGGCACAGGCUGGACGGGGCUUGGAGCACCCUGGGGUGGGGGGAGAUGUCCCCGCCCACGACAGGAGGUGGAAUGGGAUGAGCUUUAAAGCCUCUCCCAACCCAAACCAUCCCGUGAUUGCAGGGUUCCAGGAUCUCUCAUCCUGCUUGUGCUGCUUUUGCAUGGAAGUCACCGAGGAGGAGGAGCACAGGCACACGCGGGGGGCUGGGGUUGUUCCCAGGAUUGUGCCAGGAUUGUUCCCAGGAUUGCGACAGGAUUGUGCCAGGAUUGUCCCAGGGUUGUCCCAGGAUUGUGACAGGAUUAUCCCAGUAUUGUUCCCAGGAUUAUGCCAGGAUUGUUCCCAGGAUUGUCCCCAGAUUGUUCCCAGGAUUGCAGGAUUGCACCAGGAUUGUUCCCAGGAUUGCGCCAGGAUUGUGCCAGGAUUGUCCCAGGAUUGCACCAGGAUUAUCCCAGGAUUGCGCCAGGAUUGCACCAGGAUUGUGCCAGGAUUGUUCCAGGAUUGCACCAGGAUUAUCCCAGGAUUGCGCCAGGAUUGCACCAGGAUUGUGCCAGGAUUGUUCCAGGAUUGCUCCAGGAUUGCGCCAGGAUUGCGCCAGGAUUGUGCCAAAAUUGUCCCAGGAUUGUGCCAGGAUUGUCUCCUGAUUAUCCCAGGACUGUGACAGGAUUGUGCCAAGACUGUCCCAGGGUUGUGCCAGGAUUGUUACAGGAUUGCACCAGGAUUGUUCCCAGGAUUGCGCCAGGAUUGUUCCAGGAUUGCGCCAGGAUUGCGCCAGGAUUGUGCCAAAAUUGUCCCAGGAUUGUGCCAGGAUUGUCUCCUGAUUAUCCCAGGACUGUGACAGGAUUGUGCCAAGACUGUCCCAGGAUUGUGCCAGGAUUGUUGCAGGAUUGUUCCCUGAUGAUUGUCCCAGGAUUGUUCCCGGGUUUGUCCCCUGAUUGUCCCAGGAUUGUGCCAGGAUUGUUCCAGGAUUGUUCCCUGAUGAUUGUCCCAGGAUUGUUCCCGGGGUUGUCCCCUGAUUGUCCCAGGAUUGUCCCCAGCGCCAGGUGCCCGCAGCUGGCCCAGCCCCGCCCCUCCCGGCUGUCAGCUCAGGAAUAUCCCGAUGGAUCCGGGGGGACGGGGCUGUUUGGCCACCUCAGCGCCCGCCUGGGCUCUCGACCACGGAGCCGCCUCCAUCAGCUUCGCCAUCUGCUCUGAAAAGUGUGGGGACAAAGCCAGUGUCACUCGUGCUCAUCCUCCAGCAGGGUGGCACCUGGUUUAAUGUCCCUCGAAGAGCUGGCGCGGGGCUCUGUGUCCCCUGCACCCCAUCCCUCCCCUGCGCCCUUUGGGGACGUGUCACUGUCCCCACUGCUGGCAGCAUCGGGCUCUGCUGGAAAACAUGUUCGUAAUUAUUGGGAAAGAAAGCAUAGAAUAUUUUCAGCUCUUUU
Molecule: long non-coding RNA, 2066 nt
Organism: Ficedula albicollis (Collared flycatcher)
Lineage: Eukaryota; Metazoa; Chordata; Aves; Passeriformes; Muscicapidae
Source: Ensembl